AGGAUAGAGGUUGCGUGUUUCAUCAGUAGCCUGCCUGAUGCAGCAGGAGCAGAAGAUGGCAGAGGAAAGGGGAAUACGCCGAAAGAAUAAAGUCCCUGCGGUUUUAUUCUUGGGCAUGCAGUUAAGAACUGUAUGACUGUCAUCGAAAGAUGGUGCGCUAUCUA
Molecule: non-coding RNA, 164 nt
Filed under: uncultured Blautia sp.
Lineage: Bacteria; Bacillati; Bacillota; Clostridia; Lachnospirales; Lachnospiraceae
Description: Lysine riboswitch
Rfam family: Lysine riboswitch aptamer
About the family: Riboswitches are metabolite binding domains within certain messenger RNAs that serve as precision sensors for their corresponding targets.
Source: RNAcentral